AAAAAGAUAAGCUAAGAAAGCUAAUGGGUUCAUACCCCAUCAAUAAAGGUCAACUCCUUUUCUUUUUA
RNAcentral lists this transfer RNA (68 nucleotides) under Megasoma mars. RNAcentral describes it as "tRNA-Met". It matches the Rfam family "tRNA". Rfam says of the family: Transfer RNA (tRNA) molecules are approximately 80 nucleotides in length. Their secondary structure includes four short double-helical elements and three loops (D, anti-codon, and T loops). Further hydrogen bonds mediate the characteristic L-shaped molecular structure. tRNAs have two regions of fundamental functional importance: the anti-codon, which is responsible for specific mRNA codon recognition, and the 3' end, to which the tRNAs corresponding amino acid is attached (by aminoacyl-tRNA synthetases). tRNAs cope with the degeneracy of the genetic code in two manners: having more than one tRNA (with a specific anti-codon) for a particular amino acid; and 'wobble' base-pairing, i.e. permitting non-standard base-pairing at the 3rd anti-codon position. The record is from RNAcentral. Lineage: Eukaryota; Metazoa; Arthropoda; Insecta; Coleoptera; Scarabaeidae. RNAcentral also lists the same sequence under 1 other name.